AGGUACUCAAAGAUCUAAUAAGUGUGACAUCAACAAUUACUUCUUGCUAACAACCCUUGUAAUUUAACCCCUUCAGGUGAGCAGGCUGAUUGAUGAAUUGCAGACAGCUAUCAAAAGUAACAGAGGUCAUCUCUCUAAACUUGGCCCCCAAUUACAGGCUGAGCAGGAGCAAUUCUCCUCUUAUGUCUACCAACACAUUAAAAGCCUUCCAGCAAACACUCUUAUCCCAGGAGACCUGCAGCUCAAGAUAUUUGAAAAUGGUAAAGAUACUGGAGAGAUCUCUGUUUGCAUCAGCAUAAAAGACCUGGAGUCUAAUAGCCCAACUCAAACUGGUGAUAUGAUGGAAAAAUUACUUCUCAGGAUUCAUCAAAGGCUUCAAGGAUCUCCCAUCAACCCACCAGGCCUCAAUUUUUCUUCAAUACGGCUUUUUGAUGAGCACGGUCAAGAAAUUAGGAAUCCACUUUUGCUGAAGAAUGAGCAAAAAAUUUGGGUCUCUUAUGGUAAAGCAUACAGGUAGGAGCAAGGUGUUUAUUCUCUGUCUGUCCUCAAU
Long non-coding RNA from Mirounga angustirostris (Northern elephant seal), 550 nucleotides. RefSeq lists it as uncharacterized. Lineage: Eukaryota; Metazoa; Chordata; Mammalia; Carnivora; Phocidae. The record is from RefSeq and is a predicted model, not a curated record. The transcript is spliced from 3 exons.